GACGGGAAGGUCCCCACCCCAGCAAAACUGGGGCACUGGCCACAUAAAGGGCUGGUAAUAAGCUGGAUGAGAAGAAGCACACGUGUUCACCAUAUGGAGGGACCCACCAUCCCCCGGAGAUGGAGCAAAGUUCCAUGAGCCUGAACACCAUCCACCACCUACAGGGCAGGCCGGGAAGUGGUCCCUCCUGCAAGGACGAGUGGGAUGAUCCCUUUUAAAGGAGCAAAGAAAAGAGAUUCUACAGCCAAACAGUUCCAGUCCCAAGGGUGACCCUGCCUCCGC
Long non-coding RNA from Equus quagga, 282 nucleotides. RefSeq lists it as uncharacterized. NCBI's taxonomy places the organism in Eukaryota, Metazoa, Chordata, Mammalia, Perissodactyla, Equidae. The transcript has 3 exons. The record is from RefSeq and is a predicted model, not a curated record.